GAUGAAGAACGUAGCAAAAUGCGAUAAGUAGUGUGAAUUGCAGAAUUCAGUGAAUCAUCGAAUCUUUGAACGCACAUUGCGCCCCAUGGUAUUCCGUGGGGCAUGCCUGUUCGAGCGUCAUUUACCCCCUCAAGCUCCGCUUGGUGUUGGGCGUCUGUCCCGCUUCGCGCGCGGACUCGCCCCAAACGUAUUGGCAGCGGUCGUGCCAGCUUCUCGCGCAGCACAUUGCGCUUCUCGAGGCACCGGUGGGCCCGCGUCCAUCAAGCUCACCCCCCCAGUUUGACCUCGGAUCAGGUAGGGAUACCCGCUGAACUUAAGCAUAUCAAUAAGCGGAGGA
RNAcentral lists this unclassified non-coding RNA (337 nucleotides) under soil metagenome. Its description in RNAcentral is "partial contains 5.8S ribosomal RNA, internal transcribed spacer 2, and large subunit ribosomal RNA". The stretch from base 1 to 120 matches the Rfam family "5.8S ribosomal RNA", at positions 35 to 154 of the family's 154-position model. The record is from RNAcentral.